Molecule: ribosomal RNA, 656 nt
Filed under: Empedobacter falsenii
Lineage: Bacteria; Pseudomonadati; Bacteroidota; Flavobacteriia; Flavobacteriales; Weeksellaceae
Description: bacterial SSU rRNA
Rfam family: Bacterial small subunit ribosomal RNA
Source: RNAcentral
GGGGGGGGCUUACACAUGCAGCCGAGGGGUAUAGUUCUUUCGGGAACUAGAGACCGGCGCACGGGUGCGUAACGCGUAUGCAACUUGCCCUACUGAAAAGGAUAGCCCUUCGAAAGGAGGAUUAAUACUUUAUAACAGAUUUAAUGGCAUCAUUAGAUUUUGAAAGAUUUAUCGCAGUAGGAUAGGCAUGCGUAAGAUUAGUUAGUUGGUGAGGUAACGGCUCACCAAGACGAUGAUCUUUAGGGGGCCUGAGAGGGUGAACCCCCACACUGGUACUGAGACACGGACCAGACUCCUACGGGAGGCAGCAGUGAGGAAUAUUGGACAAUGGGUGGAAGCCUGAUCCAGCCAUCCCGCGUGUAGGAUGACGGCCUUAUGGGUUGUAAACUACUUUUAUCUGGGGAUAAACCUACUUACGUGUAAGUAGCUGAAGGUACCAGAAGAAUAAGCACCGGCUAACUCCGUGCCAGCAGCCGCGGUAAUACGGAGGGUGCAAGCGUUAUCCGGAUUUAUUGGGUUUAAAGGGUCCGUAGGCGGAUUAAUCAGUCAGUGGUGAAAUCUCAUAGCUUAACUAUGAAACUGCCAUUGAUACUGUUAGUCUUGAGUGAUGUUGAAGUUGCUGGAAUGUGUAGUGUAGCGGUGAAAUGCGUAGAAGC